GCAGCUGAGCGGUAGAGCAUCCGCUUGGCGGGCGGAAGGACGUGGGUUCAACCCGCCGGCAGCU
Molecule: transfer RNA, 64 nt
Filed under: Sphaerodactylus townsendi
Lineage: Eukaryota; Metazoa; Chordata; Lepidosauria; Squamata; Sphaerodactylidae
Description: tRNA-Ala
Rfam family: tRNA
About the family: Transfer RNA (tRNA) molecules are approximately 80 nucleotides in length. Their secondary structure includes four short double-helical elements and three loops (D, anti-codon, and T loops).
Source: RNAcentral